AGACGUAAGGAAAAGGACCGGGAGGGGCGGCUAACUCGGUCGGAGAGCUAGCGGCCCCCCGCACAUGCGCACCUGGGGUGGAAGAGCCCACAUGCGCUGCAUAAUAGGAAUGGCCCCUCCCCCACCCAGAAGCACGCCAGGCUGCCGACCACUACGGCAGCCCUCGGCGCCUCAGUUUCCCGCUCCGAGCCUGCGAGUCGGCUCUGGGGACGUCCGGAGGGCCCAGCCACCAGAGAAGCCUCGCCGACUCGGCUCCUCAUUCCACUCCUGCAUGAGCGAUUCGUCUUGCUCCCAACCUCGGAGCCCACCUCCCCAUUUUCUAUGUGAAGGCCUUGGAGCCUUCCCCAACUACUCCAACCUAUUUCCUCAAGGCAGGAAGACCCUGACCGCCUCACCGCGGGUCCUCGAACUCAACGAAGGCGAAGGGCGGUCCUCCGCGGCGGUUCUUCAGAUCGAUGUCGCGGAUAGCACCGUAUUUGUAGAACACGUCCUCAAUGUCCUUGGUUCGGAUGUCUGGAGGGAUGUGAGGCAGUUUACAGAGAUACUAUAAAACAUUACUAAAACUGGAUGGAGAAAUCAUGGGGAAAAUAAAGGAGGAGGAUUAAAAUGAAGGCAUCGAUAAGCUCAGGAGUCCCCAACCCCUGGGCUGAGGACCGAUACUGUUCGUGACCCGGCCGCACAGCAGGAGAUGAACGGCAGGCGAGUGAGCAAAGCUUCAUCUGCGGCUCCCCAUUGCUCGCAUUACCGCCUGAACCUUCCCACACCUUCCCACUCGCCCCGCCGUCCGCGGAAAAAUUGUCUUCCACGAAACUGGUCCCUGGUGCCAAAAAGGUUGGGGACCGCUGCUUUAGCUCAUCCUUCAAUGACAUAUUUUUAAACUGAGCUUUCAAUUUAAAGAGAGAAGACCCUGGGAAUUUCCUGGAGGCCCAGUGGUUAGGACUUCUUCCUUCCACUUCAGGGAGCACGGGUUCCAUCGUUCCAUCCCUGGUCAGGGAAUCCCACAUGCGCGGUGCGGCCAAAAGAAAAAAAAAAGAGAAGACCCUGAUAAUUUUUCAAUGAGAAGCUGACCAAAAGGGACACUAUUUCAACAGAUUUAUUCAGUUUCUAGCACUAUCCUACUUGGUUAGCAGCAGAAGAGAUGAGAGUUUUUAAAGAAUUCCAGGCACAUCAUGUAUUGGUUCUUACAUUCAAUAUUUAUUUACUGAGCACAUUUUCUCUCUAACUUUAUCCAUCCAUUUAUGAUUAUUCAGAUUCAUCUUCUGUUGAUUAAUGUUAAGUCAGUAGUAACUGAGGUGGUUUAAACAUAGGUGCUUUUAAUUUCAAGGCAUUUUCAUUCCAGAAAAAUAAGAAAACCAUGAAUUUGCUUUGAUUUAUUCUUGUCCAGUUUAGUGCAGUCAUUUCUGAUUCUGUUCAGUUCAGAAGAAUACAGGGUAAAAUUUAAUAGAGAGUGAAUAGGACAUUCUUGUUUCUCUCUUGGCCUAUUUUACUGUGUUUGAGUGUAACCAAAUUGUAGGUUCUGGGGUCUCUUGUAACCGAAAGUGGGGUUCGGCCGCUCACCGCUCAAAAGCCAAUAAAGAGGCCAGGUUGGUGGAAAGCAAAGUUCGCUUUAUUUUGGAUGCCAGUGACUGUGGGGGAGGGUAGACGCCUGUCCAAAAGGCCGACUCCUCCCCCCCCGCCCCCCCCCCCCGACAAUGGGGGCAAGAGCUUUUAUAGACAGAGGGAGGGGGCUACAUGCAGAAAUAAUACAGUCAGCUCUGACAGUCAUCUUGAAAUUGGUCAUCAGUGGUCUUACCAGUGUCAUCGUGAUUGUUUUAGGUACAGUUAAUCUUCAGUUCCAGUUUCGGUUUGUUUCCAUUUCUUUGAGGCCAGUUCUCGGAAUUGUGGAAGCUUAUGUCACGGCUACAGCCUGGUCAUCAUGUAGUUAACUUCUUCCACCUGGUGGGGGCUUCAGUAUCUAUAAGACAGCUCACAGGAUGUGGCUCAGAAUAUUAUCUAUAGCCCUUAAGGAGUAACUAAAAGUCCUUGACUAUGCUUAAUGACUAAACUAGUAUUAUUUGGUCUCCUCUGUUUUCCUUUGUUUCUUCAUUUUCUCACUUCUCUGAUUAAACUUAUCCUUCGGCUAAAGUUUUUCCACAGACAAAAGGCAGGCUGGGACUUCCUUGGUGGUGCAGUGGUUAAGAAUCUGCCUGCCAAUGCAGGGGACACGGGUUUGAUCCCAGGUCCGGGAAGAUCCCACAUGCCACGGAGCAACUAAGCCCGUGCGCCACAACUACUGAGCCUGUGCUCUAGAGCCUGUGAGCCACAACUACUGAGCCCGCAUGCCACAACUACUGAAGCCUGCGCGCCUAUAGCCUGUGCUCUGCAGCAGAAGCCACCGCAAUAAGAGAAACCUGCGCACCGCAAUGAAGAGUAGCCCCCGCUCGCCGCAAGUAGAGAAAGCCCGCACGCAGCAAUGAAGACCCAACGCAGCCAAUAAAUAAAUAAAUAAAUAUUUUUUAGAAAGGCAGGCUAAGGACAUGGGUGCGGGAGGGGCAAGGACCAUAGGGUCCUGCUCUGUUUCCCUAUGACAAGGUCAGGAUGUAGCAAGAAAAGUCUGGAUGGCUGUUUAUCAAUGUCUCCUUGGGUGGCAUUAGCUUGGAAAUUAUUACAUUUAAGGGUAUGAUCUUAUACUAUCAGUGUCCCAGAGUAGAUUGGCAUGUUUUAGUCCACAAGAGUGAAAAAGAAGAAAGCAAAUAAACCAAACCAUUUGUUCAUUUGUUGGGGGGUGAAGCAGAUUCGUUUUUGAUAACCGUGAUGUUCAAAUUGUACACACCAAGAAAACUUUUUGUCAGGUCUGGAAAACAAAUCAAGCGGUUUCUUAGUAAAUAAGGAAUCAAAACAAAAUGAGGUGAAUCGCUUUGAGAGAUGUCUCAUUCAGAUCCUGGUGAAACCUGAUAAAUGAUCCCUGCCCCACAGCAGAGUGUACCUCUUCAAAGACAGGAAGAUUCAUACCCUCUGGAUUUUACAUCUCUGUUCCCUGAAUAGUGCUGGGUAAAGACUGGCAAUUCUCUUUCUGUAGGCUAAUCUUCAUGCAACCUUUUCUCUGAACAGUGUACUAUACAAUUGAUUAGAUCUUUGCUGACCAGAUUACAGCCACUUCGUUUUGCCUCCUGAGAUUACCUCCUCAUCUUAAUUAGGGCUUUAGAGUGUUUCUAAACUCCUCAGUUACACAGUCACAGACAGUUUUGUGGAUUGCUCUCACAACCAGCUAAUUCAUUAAGUAUGGAUUUUACCAGUUUAAUUCUUAGAAGCUGCCUAUUUCAACACUGUUGCUGUGUAUGUAAACUUACUUCCGCAAAAAGAAACUUUAAAUGCUUUCGAUUCAAUCCAGUAAGUAUAAACUAGUGUAAGCACUAUACUGUACCCUGGAAAUAAUUACUUGGGGAAAAAAGGAAAUUCAAAGAGUUAGUUACCGUAAGGGUUGAAAUCACAAGACCCAGUUUUUCAGUGAUUUUCCUAACACUUAAAUCUAUGCCUGUGGUGAUGGUUACACAAAUCUGUAAAUGUACCAAAAACCAUUGAAUUGUACAAGUAAAGCAAGUGAAUUGUAUGGUAUGUAAAUUAUAACUCAAUAAAAAAUUUUUUAAAUGACUGGGGAAAAAAAUAUCUCCACAAUCAGCAAAAUCACUCUCCAGUACCAUUCCUCUAAAGGUGUUAUUAAGGCUUGAAGGUGUUCUAGAGUAAUUUGCACUGAAAUAUGCCUUCCCUAAUCUGGAAAUUCUGUUUUCAGUAUUUGUGUAUCAAUCCCUACUGUCAUUUCUGGGGAUAACUGUUAGUUUUACUAGGUAAAGAGACACAAAGAUUAGGAGCACUUAAUUCAGCCGUGAAUAGCAGUUACUUCCAGAAAGAGUUCACUUGCAUAGUUCUCUAUUCCCUUGUUCCACCUGUUUAGUGAUUAAUAGUCUCUGAAAAAGGAAGAAAUAUUAAUAGUAUAUCUUUUUAUUUCAUUUAUAUUUGUCUCAUCUUCCCUAGUAAACUAGGUUGAGGACAGAUUUUUGCUGUAACUCCCUUUAUUACCAGUACAUUUUCUGUUAAAAUGAAUAUUAUUGACUAUUUCCUGAGUGCUCUUUGAAAAUAAUGGGACUUUAGAUGAGCAGAAUGUUGUUUCUAUGGAAACUGUAUCAUGUUUCUGUCAGUGGAUAGACACAAUGGGUACAAGGAUUGUUUUUCAUUUCACAGUGUAAUAAUGAUAGCCACUUUUCAAGCCCAAGUAAAUCAUCUAAUAAUAUAGUCUUGGUAAUCUUAUUUUAGGACUGGCCUCCCUCAUUCUUUGAUUCUUCUUGUUUUGUUUUUGGCUAAUUCUGCCCAUCUUUACUGUCCCAUUACGGAAAGCAAUAACAUAUGAUUUUGCCAGAAAACAGCUCUCAAAAUGAUCUGUUACAAAGAGAUGUAUCUUUUCCAUGUCUCCCUAUUAAUAUUAUUACUCCCUCUCUCCCUCUUCUUGCUUAAGUUCUUUUAAAAAUUAAAACACCAAAUCAUCAUAUUGUACAUUUCUUAAUUGGAGUAAAUGGCUGUUUAAAGAAUUAUAAUAAAAAUAUGGCAGAUAUCCUUUAUUUGCUAAAAAUGCUACCUUUUUUGGCAAUUUUAUACUAUGGUCCUAUAUAAGUGUUACCUGUUAGUAGUAGUAGUAAUAAUGGUAUUAUAUGUUAAUGCUGCUGUCAAGUAUGUUAGAAAUAAUUUCAAUAAAAACAUUUUUAUUUG
This is a long non-coding RNA of Balaenoptera musculus (blue whale), 4740 nucleotides long. RefSeq lists it as uncharacterized. NCBI's taxonomy places the organism in Eukaryota, Metazoa, Chordata, Mammalia, Artiodactyla, Balaenopteridae. The record is from RefSeq and is a predicted model, not a curated record. The transcript is spliced from 3 exons.